GUCCCUCUUAGAACAGCACAUACACUAAAAUUGGAAUGAGACAGAGAUUAGUGUGGCCCCCGCGCAAAGAUAACACGCAAAUUCAUGAAGCGUUCCAUAAAAAA
RNAcentral lists this small nuclear RNA (104 nucleotides) under Microcebus murinus (gray mouse lemur). The record is from RNAcentral. Lineage: Eukaryota; Metazoa; Chordata; Mammalia; Primates; Cheirogaleidae.